Molecule: transfer RNA, 72 nt
Filed under: Candidatus Nitrosopelagicus sp.
Lineage: Archaea; Thermoproteati; Nitrososphaerota
Also listed under: 2 other names
Description: tRNA-Gln
Rfam family: tRNA
About the family: Transfer RNA (tRNA) molecules are approximately 80 nucleotides in length. Their secondary structure includes four short double-helical elements and three loops (D, anti-codon, and T loops).
Source: RNAcentral
AGCCCGGUAGUGUAGUGGCAAGCAUGGGGGAUUCUGGAUCCCUUGACCUCGGUUCGAGUCCGAGCCGGGCUA